RNAcentral lists this non-coding RNA (28 nucleotides) under Mus musculus (house mouse). The record is from RNAcentral. Lineage: Eukaryota; Metazoa; Chordata; Mammalia; Rodentia; Muridae.
UACGACCCGUGCUGCAGAAAGAGUGAGC